RNAcentral lists this ribosomal RNA (252 nucleotides) under uncultured bacterium. RNAcentral's name for it is "partial 16S ribosomal RNA". It matches the Rfam family "Bacterial small subunit ribosomal RNA", at positions 524 to 776 of the family's 1533-position model. The record is from RNAcentral.
UACGGAGGAUGCGAGCGUUAUCCGAAUUUAUUGGGUUUAAAGGGUGCGCAGGCGGAUUUUUAAGUCAGCGGUCAAAUCGUGGGGCUCAACCCCAUCCAGCCGUUGAAACUGGGGAUCUAGAGUGUGCGAGAGGUAUGCGGAAUGCGUGGUGUAGCGGUGAAAUGCAUAGAUAUCACGCAGAACCCCGAUUGCGAAGGCAGCAUACCGGUGCACAACUGACGCUCAGGCACGAAAGCGUGGGUAUCGAACAGG